CUCAAUAACGAAAGUAGAGGGACCGAAAGUAGAGUUCCUGGAAUAAUUGCCUACGUGGAUGUAGACACGAUAUUCUUCGAAUACGAAGACGUAGCAUUAUUGUUGUCAGCCAGAAGCUUGUCAAACGCAUUGACAAUGAGGUGCUUUGGAUGUAAGGAAAACAAGCUGUCCAAUGAAUUUCCUCAGUUUGACAUAACUGAGAAUUGCAAACAUCCAAGAUUUCACUGCAUGAGGUGUGUGAUUCGACA
Long non-coding RNA from Haliotis rubra (blacklip abalone), 248 nucleotides. RefSeq lists it as uncharacterized. The record is from RefSeq and is a predicted model, not a curated record. The transcript is spliced from 3 exons. NCBI's taxonomy places the organism in Eukaryota, Metazoa, Mollusca, Gastropoda, Lepetellida, Haliotidae.